Molecule: transfer RNA, 78 nt
Filed under: Escherichia phage JLBYU43
Lineage: Duplodnaviria; Heunggongvirae; Uroviricota; Caudoviricetes; Demerecviridae
Description: tRNA-Met
Rfam family: tRNA
About the family: Transfer RNA (tRNA) molecules are approximately 80 nucleotides in length. Their secondary structure includes four short double-helical elements and three loops (D, anti-codon, and T loops). Further hydrogen bonds mediate the characteristic L-shaped molecular structure. tRNAs have two regions of fundamental functional importance: the anti-codon, which is responsible for specific mRNA codon recognition, and the 3' end, to which the tRNAs corresponding amino acid is attached (by aminoacyl-tRNA synthetases). tRNAs cope with the degeneracy of the genetic code in two manners: having more than one tRNA (with a specific anti-codon) for a particular amino acid; and 'wobble' base-pairing, i.e. permitting non-standard base-pairing at the 3rd anti-codon position.
Source: RNAcentral
UAGUUAGUUGGCAGAGUGGUUAUGCACCUCCUUCAUACGGAGCGACUACAGUGGUUCAACUCCACUACUAACUACCAA